AUUGAACGCUGGCGGCAGGCUUAACACAUGCAAGUCGAGCGGGGUGAUGGUGCUUGCACUAUCACUUAGCGGCGGACGGGCGAGUAAUGCUUAGGAAUCUGCCUAUUAGUGGGGGACAACAUCUCGAAAGGGAUGCUAAUACCGCAUACGUCCUACGGGAGAAAGCAGGGGAUCACUUGUGACCUUGCGCUAAUAGAUGAGCCUAAGUCGGAUUAGCUAGUUGGUGGGGUAAAGGCCUACCAAGGCGACGAUCUGUAGCGGGUCUGAGAGGAUGAUCCGCCACACUGGGACCGAGACACGGCCCAGACUCCUACGGGAGGCAGCAGUGGGGAAUAUUGGACAAUGGGGGGAACCCUGAUCCAGCCAUGCCGCGUGUGUGAAGAAGGCCUUAUGGUUGUAAAGCACUUUAAGCGAGGAGGAGGCUCUUUUGGUUAAUACCCAAGAUGAGUGGACGUUACUCGCAGAAUAAGCACCGGCUAACUCUGUGCCAGCAGCCGCGGUAA
Molecule: ribosomal RNA, 503 nt
Filed under: uncultured bacterium
Lineage: Bacteria
Description: partial 16S ribosomal RNA
Rfam family: Bacterial small subunit ribosomal RNA
Source: RNAcentral